This 289-nucleotide ribosomal RNA is filed under the name uncultured bacterium. Its description in RNAcentral is "partial 16S ribosomal RNA". It matches the Rfam family "Bacterial small subunit ribosomal RNA", at positions 775 to 1067 of the family's 1533-position model. The record is from RNAcentral.
GGAUUAGAUACCCUGGUAGUCCACGCUGUAAACGAUGGUCACUCGAUAUACACUUUUCCAAAGUGUGUGUCCAAGCAAAAGCAUUAAGUGACCCACCUGGGGAGUACGCUCGCAAGAGUGAAACUUAAAGGAAUUGACGGGGAUCCGCACAAGCGGUGGAGCAUGUGGUUUAAUUCGAGACUACGCGAGGAACCUUACCUAGAUUCAAUGUAUACUGACAUACUAAGAAAUUAGUAUUUCCGCAAGGACAGUAUACAAGGUGUUGCAUGGCCGUCGUCAGCUCGUGCUG